Molecule: non-coding RNA, 72 nt
Organism: Dama dama (fallow deer)
Lineage: Eukaryota; Metazoa; Chordata; Mammalia; Artiodactyla; Cervidae
Source: the annotation of a RefSeq genome assembly
UCUCUGGUGUCCAGUGGUUAAGACUCUACACUCUUAAUGUAGGGGGCCCAGGUUCGAUCCCUGGUCAGGGAA